AUUGAACGCUGGCGGCAUGCUUUACACAUGCAAGUCGAACGGUAACAGGGAGCUUGCUCCGCUGACGAGUGGCGAACGGGUGAGUAAUGCAUCGGAACGUACCCAGUCGUGGGGGAUAACGUAGCGAAAGUUACGCUAAUACCGCAUACGUCCUGAGGGAGAAAGCGGGGGACCGUAAGGCCUCGCGCGAUUGGAGCGGCCGAUGUCGGAUUAGCUAGUUGGUAGGGUAAAGGCCUACCAAGGCGACGAUCCGUAGCGGGUCUGAGAGGAUGAUCCGCCACACUGGGACUGAGACACGGCCCAGACUCCUACGGGAGGCAGCAGUGGGGAAUUUUGGACAAUGGGCGAAAGCCCGAUCCAGCCAUGCCGCGUGAGUGAAGAAGGCC
Molecule: ribosomal RNA, 386 nt
Filed under: uncultured bacterium
Lineage: Bacteria
Description: bacterial SSU rRNA
Rfam family: Bacterial small subunit ribosomal RNA
Source: RNAcentral